CCCUUAGGUGUCCUGGGCCGCACGCGCGCUACACUGACAUGUUCAACAAGUUUCUCCUAGUUCGACAGGACUGGGAAAUCUUUGAACGCAUGUCGUGAUAGGGAUAGAUCAUUGCAAUUAUUGAUCUUGAACGAGGAAUUCCUAGUAAACGCGAGUCAUCAGCUCGCAUUGAUUACGUCCCUGCCCUUUGUACACACCGCCCGUCGCACCUACCGAUUGAAUGUUUCGGUGAAGAUUCCGGAUAGGACUGAUUUGAUUUAUUUCAUUUCUGACCUAAAAGCUAUCUAAACCUCAACAUUUAGAGGAAGGUGAAGUCGUAACA
This 322-nucleotide ribosomal RNA is filed under the name uncultured eukaryote. RNAcentral's name for it is "partial 18S ribosomal RNA". It matches the Rfam family "Eukaryotic small subunit ribosomal RNA", at positions 1470 to 1796 of the family's 1831-position model. The record is from RNAcentral.